Regulatory RNA element from Coprobacillus sp., 78 nucleotides. It matches the Rfam family "c-di-GMP-I riboswitch aptamer". Rfam says of the family: GEMM was predicted in a large-scale screen for bacterial structured RNA regulatory elements. Genes associated with GEMM are involved in a diverse array of functions, including chemotaxis regulation, signal transduction, secretion and chitin. The record is from Rfam. Lineage: Bacteria; Bacillati; Bacillota; Erysipelotrichia; Erysipelotrichales; Coprobacillaceae.
UAUAAAAAUAGGCAAAACUAUUGAAAGAUAGUGACGCAAAGCUAUAGGGCCUCUUUAACGUGGCAGCCAGUUGCACAA